Molecule: ribosomal RNA, 348 nt
Filed under: Triticum aestivum (bread wheat)
Lineage: Eukaryota; Viridiplantae; Streptophyta; Magnoliopsida; Poales; Poaceae
Description: partial small subunit ribosomal RNA
Source: RNAcentral
AUGCAUGAUCAGGUCGACAUCGACCUGGACGGCUUCCCCCUCGACCAUGAGUUCCCGGAGGACUAUGGGCUAGAGGAAGAGGACGAGUGCGACAUCGAAGUGGAGCCUUUGUUCGAGGACGAGCUCGCCAACCAAGCCGUCGGUCCUAAGCCGAACCGCAAGAGCAAGCACACGAAGGCGUACACAGCUGCUGAGGACAAGCUUCUUUGCGAGUGUUGGCGAGACAUUGGACAAGACCCAAAGACGGGUGCCGAGCAAAAGCAUUCGACCUUUUGGACUCGUGUGCACCGAGAGUUUCAUGAGCGCAAGAAGUUUUCACCUUACCAAUUUGUGAGAACACGCGGGUGA